GAUGAACGCUAGCGGCAGGCCUAAUACAUGCAAGUCGAACGAUACCAAGGGGCUUGCUCCUUGGAAAAGUGGCGCACGGGUGCGUAACGCGUAUGCAACCUACCUUUAUCAGGGGGAUAGCCCGGAGAAAUCCGGAUUAAUACCGCAUAAAAUCACAGGAUGGCAUUAUCCAAUGAUCAAACAUUUAUGGGAUAAAGAUGGGCAUGCGUGUCAUUAGCUAGUUGGCGGGGUAACGGCCCACCAAGGCGACGAUGACUAGGGGAUCUGAGAGGAUGGCCCCCCACACUGGUACUGAGACACGGACCAGACUCCUACGGGAGGCAGCAGUAAGGAAUAUUGGUCAAUGGGCGGAAGCCUGAACCAGCCAUGCCGCGUGCAGGAAGACUGCCCUAUGGGUUGUAAACCGCUUUUAUCCGGGAAUAAACCUACUUACGUGUAAGUAGCUGAAUGUACCGGAAGAAUAAGGAUCGGCUAACUCCGUGCCAGCCGCCGCAGUAA
RNAcentral lists this ribosomal RNA (498 nucleotides) under uncultured bacterium. Its description in RNAcentral is "partial 16S ribosomal RNA". It matches the Rfam family "Bacterial small subunit ribosomal RNA", at positions 28 to 523 of the family's 1533-position model. The record is from RNAcentral.